RNAcentral lists this ribosomal RNA (502 nucleotides) under uncultured bacterium. Its description in RNAcentral is "partial 16S ribosomal RNA". It matches the Rfam family "Bacterial small subunit ribosomal RNA", at positions 899 to 1397 of the family's 1533-position model. The record is from RNAcentral.
ACUCAAAGGAAUUGACGGGGGCCCGCACAAGCGGUGGAGCAUGUGGUUUAAUACGUUACUAACCGUAGAACCUUACCAGGGUUUGACAUGUGCUGAAAUCCUAUGAAAGUAGGCUUCCUCGCAAGAGGACAGCAACACAGGUGUUGCAUGGCUGUCGUCAGCUCGUGUCGUGAGAUGUUGGGUUAAGUCCCGCAACGAGCGCAACCCUCAUCCCAUGUUGCCAGCGAGUAAAGUCGGGAACUCUUGGGAAACUGCCGGGGUAACUCGGAGGAAGGUGAGGAUGACGUCAAGUCAGCAUGGCCCUUACAUCCUGGGCUACACACAUGCUACAAUGGACGGUAUACAGAGGGAUCCGAGGGGGCGACCCGGAGGCAAUCUCAGAAAUCCGUUCUCAGUUCGGAUCGCAGGCUGCAACUCGCCUGCGUGAAGCCGGAAUCGCUAGUAACCGCAGGUCAGCUAAACUGCGGUGAAUACGUUCCCGGGCCUUGUACACACCGCCCGU